AGUUUGACUCCCCGAAACUAAGCGAGCUACUCCAAAGCAACUCACAGAACCAACCCGUCCCUGUAGCAAAAGGGUGGGAAGACUUUAGAGUAGAAGUGACACACCUACCGAGCUUAGAGAUAGCUGGUUAUUCAGGAAAAGGAUUUUAGUCCAUCUCUAAGUCUUCCAAGUACCAUUAAACACCUAAUAGACUUAGAAGUUAUUCAAAUAGGGGACAGCCUAUUUGAAAUAGAACACAACCUAUAAUCUUGGGUAACGACNNNNNNNNNAGUGACCAAGUCAGCCUAAAAGCAGCUAGCUUUCAGAAAGCGUCCAAGCUUCACCACAAACCUUUAUUAAUUCCACAAUUAACCCGUAACCCACAACCACCACUGAAUAAUCCCAUACUCUAUGAGAAAUAUUAUGCUAGAACUAGUAACAAGAAGAAGAACUUCUCCAAAAUGUAAGCGUAAGCCAAAAUGAACACUCACCGGCACUUACCGCCACAAACCUGUAGUAUCAACAUUACAAGAAAACAAUACUUCAACUGACGUUAACC
This 538-nucleotide ribosomal RNA is filed under the name Platypelis karenae. RNAcentral's name for it is "partial 16S ribosomal RNA". It matches the Rfam family "Bacterial large subunit ribosomal RNA", at positions 704 to 1345 of the family's 2925-position model. Lineage: Eukaryota; Metazoa; Chordata; Amphibia; Anura; Microhylidae. The record is from RNAcentral.